This 830-nucleotide ribosomal RNA is filed under the name Malassezia globosa. Its description in RNAcentral is "eukaryotic LSU rRNA". The stretch from base 322 to 475 matches the Rfam family "5.8S ribosomal RNA". The record is from RNAcentral. Lineage: Eukaryota; Fungi; Basidiomycota; Malasseziomycetes; Malasseziales; Malasseziaceae.
GUAAGUAAAAGUCGUAACAAGGUUUCUGUAGGUGAACCUGCAGAAGGAUCAUUAGUGAAGAUUCAAGGGCCAGCCAUACAGACGUACAAUAAGUGUGUCUCUGGCGGCUCGCAUCCACUAUACAUCCAUAAACCCGUGUGCACUGUUCUAAGGAGUAAGAAAGAAGAAGAAGGGGGAGGGAGAGAGAGUGCAUGUGCUUUGCAUAUAACUCUCUCACUCUCCACUCUCUUUCUCUCUCUCUCCGGUUAAUUACAAACUCGUAUGGAUUUGUAUGAACGUGAGAUAUAUCGUUGGACCGUCACUGGCCAACAAAUAUAACACAACUUUCGACAACGGAUCUCUUGGUUCUCCCAUCGAUGAAGAACGCAGCGAAACGCGAUAGGUAAUGUGAAUUGCAGAAUUCCGUGAAUCAUCGAAUCUUUGAACGCACCUUGCGCUCUAUGGUAUUCCGUAGAGCAUGCCUGUUUGAGUGCCGUGAAUUCUCCCAUCCCAAGCGGUUUUUAUCAAAGAAUUGCUAGGCGAUGGGGUUGAGAUGGGCGUUAUUAUAACUGCUUUUCUUCUCUAGAAAAAGCUCGCCCGAAAAACAGCUAACGCCUCUGGGCCACUUUGCAUCCGCUUCUCUGAGGGGAGAAGCGGCCAAGCGCGCUCUGAUCAUCAGGCAUAGCAUGAUACGUCAUUUGCUAUGCUGUAGGAGAGCAUUUGGUUGUGGUUAUACCGCGUGCGUCAUUUUUUCUUUUGCAAAACGCAAAGGAAAAAAACCCCCUUUCAUUUCUGGUCUCAAAUCAGGUAGGAUCACCCGCUGAACUUAAGCAUAUCAAUAAGCGGAGGAA